UUGAUGUUCAGAUGGUUUGGAGAAUCAGGAUCUGGAUCAUUGAACCAAAGAAUAAGGGGGUUGCUGUGGUGGGUGUAAUAAACCGGCUCUUCUUUCUUUGCUCUGCACACAUAGAACCC
Long non-coding RNA from Alosa sapidissima (American shad), 119 nucleotides. RefSeq lists it as uncharacterized. The transcript is spliced from 3 exons. Lineage: Eukaryota; Metazoa; Chordata; Actinopteri; Clupeiformes; Clupeidae. The record is from RefSeq and is a predicted model, not a curated record.